CCCCCGGUAGCUCAGCAGGAAGAGCAUACAGAGCACAAUUCUGUAGACGCUGGUUCGAGUCCAGCCCGGGGGG
RNAcentral lists this transfer RNA (73 nucleotides) under Stereum hirsutum FP-91666 SS1. RNAcentral's name for it is "tRNA-Cys (ACA) (tRNA-Cys-ACA-6-1)". It matches the Rfam family "tRNA". From Rfam's summary of the family: Transfer RNA (tRNA) molecules are approximately 80 nucleotides in length. Their secondary structure includes four short double-helical elements and three loops (D, anti-codon, and T loops). The record is from RNAcentral. Lineage: Eukaryota; Fungi; Basidiomycota; Agaricomycetes; Russulales; Stereaceae.